Peromyscus leucopus (white-footed mouse) is the source of this 670-nucleotide long non-coding RNA. RefSeq lists it as uncharacterized. Lineage: Eukaryota; Metazoa; Chordata; Mammalia; Rodentia; Cricetidae. The transcript is spliced from 2 exons. The record is from RefSeq and is a predicted model, not a curated record.
ACCUGACUGAGAAGAGUAUCUCGCUUGCCCACAUGGUUAAUCUAUAACAAGUUGCUUGGAUAUGAAUGUACAUGGGUUCUUGGAAUAAUCUGUUUUUCCCCUGUAAUACUAAAAUGUUUAAUCAUAUAAGGGAUAUGGAAAACAUGCUGUUUUUUACUGUGUGUUUGUAUUCAUUGUAAUCAUUCACUUGAAAAACAGAAUGUAACCACGUUGUAACUUUUAUGUCACCUGAAAGAUUAUGCUGGGGUAUAUAGGCUGCAGGAAAAAGAAUAAAGGUAGGGUUAAAAUGGGCUAGAAGGAAAACAUCAAGAAGGAGAGGGUCAAAACUACAAGGGAGACAUCAGGAGUAAAGACAGAGUCAGAAGGAAAACAUGAAGAAUGAGAGAAGGAAAUCACCAGGAAAAUAAAGAACAGAGAAUGCAAAAGAAGAAUAAAGAAAAAGCCUGUAGGAAACCAUCAAGAGAGUGUAUGCCUGAGCACCUGCCGCCAUGCCAGCUGGACCUCGAUAGACCGUGAUGGACUGCAUCCUCAGACUGUGAGCCACAACAAGCCCUUCCUCACUCUGGUUACUUUUGUCAAGGCUUUUGUCACAGAGAAAAUGACUAAUAUUUAAGACAUGGUAUCGGGCUAUUUGUCAAUCAUUUAAUAAACACAGCACAACUGCCUGGCA